This 484-nucleotide ribosomal RNA is filed under the name uncultured bacterium. Its description in RNAcentral is "partial 16S ribosomal RNA". It matches the Rfam family "Bacterial small subunit ribosomal RNA", at positions 30 to 507 of the family's 1533-position model. The record is from RNAcentral.
AUUGAACGCUGGCGGCAGGCCUAACACAUGCAAGUCGAGCGGAUGAAGGGAGCUUGCUCCUGGAUUCAGCGGCGGACGGGUGAGUAAUGCCUAGGAAUCUGCCUGGUAGUGGGGGAUAACGUCCGGAAACGGGCGCUAAUACCGUAUACGUCCUGAGGGAGAAAGUGGGGGAUCUUCGGACCUCACGCUAUCAGAUGAGCCUAGGUCGGAUUAGCUAGUUGGUGGGGUAAAGGCCUACCAAGGCGACGAUCCGUAACUGGUCUGAGAGGAUGAUCAGUCACACUGGAACUGAGACACGGUCCAGACUCCUACGGGAGGCAGCAGUGGGGAAUAUUGGACAAUGGGCGAAAGCCUGAUCCAGCCAUGCCGCGUGUGUGAAGAAGGUCUUCGGAUUGUAAAGCACUUUAAGUUGGGAGGAAGGGCAGUAAGUUAACACCUUGCUGUUUUGACGUUACCAACAGAAUAAGCACCGGCUAACUUCGUG